GAUGAACGCUGGCGGCGUGCCUAAUACAUGCAAGUCGAGCGAACGGACGAGAAGCUUGCUUCUCUGAUGUUAGCGGCGGACGGGUGAGUAACACGUGGAUAACCUACCUAUAAGACUGGGAUAACUUCGGGAAACCGUAGCUAAUACCGGAUAAUAUUUUGAACCGCAUGGUUCAAAAGUGAAAGACGGUCUUGCUGUCACUUAUAGAUGGAUCCGCGCUGCAUUAGCUAGUUGGUAAGGUAACGGCUUACCAAGGCAACGAUGCAUAGCCGACCUGAGAGGGUGAUCGGCCACACUGGAACUGAGACACGGUUCCAGACUCCUACGGGAGGCAGCAGUAGGGAAUCUUCCGCAAUGGGCGAAAGCCUGACGGAGCAACGCCGCGUGAGUGAUGAAGGUCUUCGGAUCGUAAAACUCUGUUAUUAGGGAAGAACAUAUGUGUAAGUAACUGUGCACAUCUUGACGGUACCUAAUCAGAAAGCCACGGCUAACUACGUG
Molecule: ribosomal RNA, 498 nt
Filed under: uncultured bacterium
Lineage: Bacteria
Description: partial 16S ribosomal RNA
Rfam family: Bacterial small subunit ribosomal RNA
Source: RNAcentral